This 1669-nucleotide long non-coding RNA is filed under the name Homo sapiens (human). RNAcentral describes it as "HSALNT0296189". Lineage: Eukaryota; Metazoa; Chordata; Mammalia; Primates; Hominidae. The record is from RNAcentral.
AGGCCCUCCAUUCCAGGUUUGGGCUGGCUGGCUCUUCCCCACCCUAUGCCUGGGUCUCAACUUUCCUUCCUAUGUGAGCCUGGCCUCUGAUCUCAGGAGGGGAAACUGAGGCUGGCACUUGCUGACACCCAGCCAUCAAGAGCAUCUUUAAGGAAGUAUCUUUUCUUUAUGAGGGGCCUUUCUCCAUCAGUAUCCCCUGCUGGGACUUACAGAUGUGAAUGUAGGGGAUCGUAGAGGUGGGUCUGUGAGAAGGAGGAAGGGAGUAAGUAUGAGUUUUUUGUGUAUGGGGAGCUGUGGCUGAGGGCCUGGCCAAUCUUAGUGCUGGUUCAAACGCAUGUGAGGCUAUCUUCUUGCAUAAACUGGUGGGUGUUUGGCACAUAUAUGUGUUCAUGUCUUAUCUUAGGGGCAUAUACGUACUUACUUGUCUGUGUCCAGAGGGAAGAGCUGUGUAUCAGUAUGUGUGAAUGUGUGUGCACACAUGAUUCCGUGUGCAUGUCACACCCUCUGUAUGCAUGGAGUGCAUUCUUGUCUCGCGGAACUCUGCACACAUAGUAAAUAUUUUGCUGUCGGUUUAUCUUGGCUUCCACAUGUCUCUCUGUCUCAGCUGCCCUUGGUCUGUGGUAUGUGGCUGUGAGCCUUUGCCUCUGCAUCCUGCCUGGAAUGUCACCCCCAGCAUCCUUCCCCACCUUACCCCAAGACUUGAAGACAUAUUAAUCUCAGGCUCAAGGUGGAAGUACCCAGAGAUGAGGUCACUGUCCCUCCAGGUGAUGGGAACUUGCCAUUAAGGACUCCCCAGCAGAACAAAACAAAUGUUCCCUCUCCCCUUGCUCCUCAGGUUCCUACUAAAAGGACUGCCAACCUUCUCACCACUACCCCCAGCCACUCCCCUGGGCCCCUCAGCAGCUCUGGCCCCCCAAGGAGGCCUCUCCCUGGGAAUCUCUGUCAGGGCUCUGCUGCUGCCACCACCAGAAAAACCAGCUCUGGCUCCAGGCCUGGCCAGACCCAGUGACCCUUCCAACACCCCAGCACCCCACUUCAGCCAGGCCUGGACCAUCACAGAGUCAUCGUAUUUCAGAGCUGGAAGGUCAAUAGAGAUCAUCUGGUCCUAGCUCUCGGUCUACUGAAGUCUGGUUUCAUCGCUGCCCAAGGUUACCAAAUAGAUUAAUAGCAGAAACGGGAUCUGGACCAAGACUCCUGACUUCCCAGUCCAAGGAUUUUUUCAGAGACAUGAAACAUUCCAGGUUCCUGGGAGCCAUUAAGGAGAGUCUACACACAGAAGAGCCAGAAUGGGGGUGGUAGUGGAGGUAGGACCAUCUGAUCCUCAGGCUAGGAGCCUCCAGCCCCCAGAGCAACCUCAGCUCUGUGCAGGUUGUAGCUGCUGCAGCAGCAGCAGAGUGGCCUCCUACCAGGUGCCAGCUUCCUGGGGCAAUCUGGAGCCAGGCUUCCUCCCUUACUGCCAGGCAUUGCAUGAGGUCUAACUAGAAGGGGGUCUCCUGUCCCCUUCCCUGGGCUUCUCUUAGUAAGAACAGUUUUGCCAUCAUGGAAAAGAAAGGCAAGAACCAUGUGAUGCAGUCACCAUUGCAUCUCCAGCAUCUAGUAUCCAGGUUGUACCCAGUGUGCACUCAAAUGUACUAUUCUUCAAUGAACUUAGAGUGAGAACACCAAGACA